This 244-nucleotide unclassified non-coding RNA is filed under the name Glomus sp. RNAcentral describes it as "partial contains 5.8S ribosomal RNA and internal transcribed spacer 2". The stretch from base 1 to 65 matches the Rfam family "5.8S ribosomal RNA", at positions 84 to 154 of the family's 154-position model. The record is from RNAcentral. Lineage: Eukaryota; Fungi; Glomeromycota; Glomeromycetes; Glomerales; Glomeraceae.
GUGAAUCAUCGAAUUUUUGAACGCAAAUUGCACUCUCCUCGGAGAGUAUGCCUGUUUGAGGGUCAGCCUAUAAAAAAUCGACAUCGUUGCUGUUUCGCGGUGGCGCUCGUCGGAAAUUGGGUCAUCUUAAAUCCUUUUGGUUUUUAAGCGACUUAAAAUUUUCUUUUUGGUUCCAUGAACGUUUCUAAGAUUUAUUUCUUACCCCUUUUAGGGAUUCGUUUUUUAUUGGACGUGCCAAUAAUAC